RNAcentral lists this unclassified non-coding RNA (353 nucleotides) under Hevea brasiliensis (rubber tree). Lineage: Eukaryota; Viridiplantae; Streptophyta; Magnoliopsida; Malpighiales; Euphorbiaceae. The record is from RNAcentral.
AACUAAGCCACCAACGUGAUUACAAAAAGUAGAAAUGAGGGGGGGACAAAAAGAAGAAGAAAAAACGAACUUGAAUGAAUGAAAGUAUCCUUCUAUGCAAAAUCUAGAAAAGAAGAUAAAAAAUAAAAGAUCCUGUCUCUUUCUUCUACGUAAGUUCUCUGCUAGUGCUUCCACGGUGUAGCAGACGCGCGUAACACUAGUUUAGGCUGUUUAUCAAGACGAUAAGCAGGCCACUGUGCUUAUGUUGACUUCAAAUGAUCCUCAAAAUCCCCAUCCUGAUGAUCCACUUCUCAAGAAACUGGGAGAUUACCCAGCUUCCCUACUUCUCCCAAGAUCUCAACUCAGGAUCAAAA